ACGAACUGCUCUGCUUUACUAAAAGUUGGAUCUCUGUAAGUCAUCUUAUUUAACCGGUUAUUCCUAAGUAGCAAUAAACUAAACACUUGUGCAGUAGAAAAUAUCAUAAAUGAUAAACGUGCAUGGCUACAAGUGCUUUCUCUUUGGCACUAAGCCAUCUACAAAUAUUCUGCCUUAAUUUCAUUAUGUAUUUGAAUACAAUUAAAACAUGUUACAAAAUGGAAGCAUUGUUUGGCUCUACUGCUCUCGUAAUGUCUUGCAUGUUUACCAUGAUAAAGGUUUAAUGGGUGGAGGGACCGCUGCUAAAAGAUGUAAAGAAGUGGUCUUAGCACUAGAAGCUUACUGUCUGAAUCGCAAGGAUCUAAGAAUAGUGAAGCAUAUAAAUUAUUGAACGAUAUGGUAGACUCCACUCGCAAGGAUCUAAGAGUAGAGAAGCAUAUAAAUUAUUGAACGUCGUUAUGGUAGACUGCAUAGUAUUUGUCACAACGAUGUUUACAGUGUGUUCUCUAAUCUAAUACACUGUCCAAAUUAUUUUUUAUCUGUCAUUAUAGUGUGGUACAAUGGAAGGAGAGAUCCUCGCGAACAGGCCUAAUCUGUUUAAAAUGACUGAGCAAGCGACUACCCACAACCCCAAACACUAAUGGAGCCAAUGCUGACUAGGUGCUUACCUACAUGUCAGCACCAAGGCAAGUAAAAAAAUUCCAAUUCAGUCCGG
Molecule: long non-coding RNA, 715 nt
Filed under: Hordeum vulgare
Lineage: Eukaryota; Viridiplantae; Streptophyta; Magnoliopsida; Poales; Poaceae
Description: long non-coding RNA (HVUL_LNC020580)
Source: RNAcentral